AGGAUAAACGCUGGCGGCGUGCCUAACACAUGCAAGUCGAACGCGCUUUUUUCGCAAGAGGAGAGCGAGUGGCGGACGGGUGAGUAACACAUGGGUACCUACCUUGGAGUGAGGGAUACCGGCGAGAAAUCGCCGACAAUACCGCAUACGCUUCUCUUCACCGGGAAGCAAAGUUGCGCAAGCGACGCUCUGAGAUGGGCCUGUGGCCGAUUAGCUAGUUGGUGGGGUAACGGCCUACCAAGGCGACGAUCGGUAGCUGGUCUGAGAGGACGAUCAGCCACACUGGGAUUGAGAACGGCCCAGACUCCUACGGGGGCAGGCAGUGAGGAAUUUUCCGCAAUGGACGCAAGUCUGACGGAGCAACGCCGCGUGCAGGAUGAAGGUUUUCGGAUCGUAAACUGCUUUUCUCGGGGACGAGCAAGGACGGUACCCGAGGAAGAAGCCCCGGCUAACUACGUGCCAGCAGCCGCGGUAA
This 475-nucleotide ribosomal RNA is filed under the name uncultured bacterium. Its description in RNAcentral is "SSU rRNA". It matches the Rfam family "Bacterial small subunit ribosomal RNA", at positions 26 to 523 of the family's 1533-position model. The record is from RNAcentral.